GCAGUCGAACGAUGAACCACUUCGGUGGGGAUUAGUGGCGAACGGGUGAGUAACACGUGGGCAAUCUGCCCUUCACUCUGGGACAAGCCCUGGAAACGGGGUCUAAUACCGGAUACUGACCCUCGCAGGCAUCUGCGAGGUUCGAAAGCUCCGGCGGUGAAGGAUGAGCCCGCGGCCUAUCAGCUUGUUGGUGAGGUAAUGGCUCACCAAGGCGACGACGGGUAGCCGGCCUGAGAGGGCGACCGGCCACACUGGGACUGAGACACGGCCCAGACUCCUACGGGAGGCAGCAGUGGGGAAUAUUGCACAAUGGGCGAAAGCCUGAUGCAGCGACGCCGCGUGAGGGAUGACGGCCUUCGGGUUGUAAACCUCUUUCAGCAGGGAAGAAGCGAAAGUGACGGUACCUGCAGAAGAAGCGCCGGCUAACUACGUGCCAGCAGCCGCGGUAAUACGUAGGGCGCAAGCGUUGUCCGGAAUUAUUGGGCGUAAAGAGCUCGUAGGCGGCUUGUCACGUCGGUUGUGAAAGCCCGGGGCUUAACCCCGGGUCUGCAGUCGAUACGGGCAGGCUAGAGUUCGGUAGGGGAGAUCGGAAUUCCUGGUGUAGC
RNAcentral lists this ribosomal RNA (605 nucleotides) under Actinomycetales bacterium A225. RNAcentral describes it as "bacterial SSU rRNA". It matches the Rfam family "Bacterial small subunit ribosomal RNA", at positions 57 to 679 of the family's 1533-position model. The record is from RNAcentral. Lineage: Bacteria; Bacillati; Actinomycetota; Actinomycetes; Actinomycetales.